AAGUGGCCAUGUGGUUAGAGCAUCUGCCUUAGAUGCAGGAGAUUAUGGGUUCGAAUCCCAGCUGAAUCA
Non-coding RNA from Potamilus streckersoni, 69 nucleotides. Lineage: Eukaryota; Metazoa; Mollusca; Bivalvia; Unionida; Unionidae. The record is from the annotation of a GenBank genome assembly.